AGGCGGAGCUGAGAAGAAGAAGAAGAUGGCGGAGUGAGAAGUGGCUCCCGCUGCGGCCGCGGCUGCAGCUGCGGCUGCCGGGAACCCACGAUGGCCGGGGUUGGCCAGCCCUGGUCUGCAGUCCGCUAAUCUUGACAGCUCAGGUUCCUCACCCUAGGCAGAACAAUUUUCCUACAGUGUUUAUGUUGUCCUCAUCUUGGAAGAAAAAACCCAACCCAGAGUUCAGGAUUUAGUAGAUUCUUCAGAAGAAAAAAGACAUUCAUUUGAAUCAUUCUAUCCUUCACUGUUUUCUCAGGUGAUCCUGCUUUUAUUUAACUGCAGUCCUUGGUCCUGAUGUGUGGAUCUGUCUCCUCUCUACUCUAACUUCAUGGACCAGAAUGGAAAAGAUUUCUUCACUUCAUGUUCCACUUCUCAAAUCCAGCACAUUGAGCUGGUCAGGUGGUUUCUCCUAGGGUGCCAUCUGGCUGGCAUCAUGCCAGAUCUGCCAGGGGAAAAAAAGUAAUUGAUGUUGGUACUCAGCAGCUAUUUGCUUAGAUGAAAGACAGGAUUUUUUUUUUUCAAAUAGGAGCAUAAUAUUUAGAUUAGUGCCAGGUGCUUAUCUGGUGGCAUUUGUGAGUUCUUUUCCCUUUCUGAUUUAUGAGAGUACACAGUACGAAGUCCAGAUGUCUGCGGGGGCCACUUGUAUCCUGUUUGAACCAGUAUAAAAUUACACCUAUACAUAAUUACAGCAGGAAAUCUUGUAUUUCAAUAUGAAAAGUACAUUUCAGAAACUAAAAAUAAUGGAUCUGAAUUCUAAUUAAUUCCAUUACAUAGAUUUCUCAGUCCAGAACAAAGGGCCAACCCGGUAAUAUGGUAAGUAAAUCAGCUUAUGUAAAAUACAUUGUCCCUGGAUUUUUUUAUGUGUUUGAAGAAAACAUCAUGUCCUUUGAACAAAUAUUCUUCUGCAUGGGCCUGUCCACAUUUAUCAGAAGAAAGAAUUCUUCCAAGAAACAAAGCCUGGCUGUAGCUGCAUUGCCUCCUCCCCUGGUAACAUUUGGUUGCUUCAUACCAUUUUAAGAAGUUUUUCCAUUUUCACAAGAAGCAGACCCCAGGAAUGCAUUCCUGGGUCCAUUGGAAAACAGUUUUCAUUGAAUUUUGACUAAAAGAACAACAACUUUUAAUCUAAGCAGGAAUAGGCACUGUCUCAUGGAUAUGUACUGGCUUCUGUCACCUUUCUUCCUUGUGGAGUGUCAUGGAACAUUCUGAAGUUGGCUUUUCGUACUGCUGUGGCCAAGAAUGACCUAGAACAAGGGGUCUGCCACUGUAUGCUCAUAAUAUCAGAUCAAACCUGUAGUUGGCUAUGAGUAUAGCAGGAUGGUAAAAGAGUGGGAGUAGAGACAAAAGUGUUUUCCCAAAUAGAUUCAACCUGAGGGACAAAAAGCAAAAAUAUUUUAUGUAGCUCCAUCUGAUUGACAUUUUUGCAUGACAUUCUGUAUCUUCAAACCAUGCCGUUUCAUGGGAACAUUAUCCUUCAAGAGGCUGUGAGAAUGAUUUCCAUGGGUGAAACUGAAGCAUCUUAACAACAAGAUGGAUCUCAAAAUAAUGCCCAUCAACCUGGGUUUUUGAGGCAGGGUGAAUUUAGGUGUAGAAGAAAUUUAGGGACUACAUCUCCCCUCUUCCCUCCUUCCCUCCUCCCCCCCAAAGAAAAGCUCCACAAAAUAGUAGAUUCACAAAGGCAGUGAAUAUGUUUUCCUCUUAAAUUUAAAAGAAAAUAACCUGACAUUACCCUCGGCAGCUGAAAUUCUUCCUUGCUCCUGCACCUGAGAGAUGUACAGCAGAGUUUGGAAUGACUUGUUAAUAGUACAGGAGAACAUCCACCCUCCUUUAUUUGUUAUCUUACAUGUCCAGAGAAAUCAAUGUAAAACUUGUCGAAUAUUAAGGCCUUGCAUCUUUGUGUUUCUGAAAAUCUGCAGUUAGAGCCCUGGUAUAAUGCUGGAGUAAAGAGCCUGGAUUCAGGACUGCUCUGCCCAAGUGGAAUUUUGUUCAAAAGACAAGAAUUGCCAAAAUGGAAUAUUUUCCUCUGAUGAAUAGUAGGUCUUGGCCAAUGGGAAUUGAAAUCUGAAUCUAAAUGUCUUAGAGAAAAAAAGAUUUGAAUAAAGUAUGAUUUUAGAAGGACAGUAGUUAACAUUGGCUAGUAGCAAAGUACAGCAUUGUCAAAGUCUUGGUGUACUUGUAAGCUUUAAUAGCUUACACCUGCACUAACAUUUUUGGGAUACCCUGUAUAAGUAGUCAUGUCUUUUGAAAGUUCUAUGUUUGUAGUAGUUAGAAGUCUCUCAGUUCAGUCAGGCAGAUCUCCCAGUCAUUUGUUUUCUUUUUUCAUUUGUUACUACUUUGUAAAGAUAAAGACCAGCGUUGCGGGGAAAACUCUUUACUAAAAGGGUCCUCUUUAUUACAGGUGCCACCGGGAUGUUGAGAAAGAUUUUAAAUCUUGUUUUUCUGCCAUUCCCUUUAAUGUCUUAUUAUUGGUAGCCUUUCUGGCAAGAUCUGUUGGCAGGCAGCAGGGCCGUCCUAUUUCUCCUUACCUCUUCUGUCACAUUUGGAACAGAUCCACGCUGGCCUGUUGGUGCUUCAGGCAUCAGACCUACUUCUUUAGAUCCCUUAGAAUUCUCUGAAUUUAUAGCCAAUAAAGUAGCUGUUAGUGUUUCCCUUAAAUAUACUCCUGCCUUAUUUACAACUGUUACAAAAUCUUAUUACAGCUAAAAUUUGUGUGAUGAUCAGUGGUUUCAGCCUUAUAUUCCCUUAAGACUCUCAAUUUCUUUUCUGCCUGUCUUUCUGCAGUUUCCUUCUGGCUGUGGUUUUAGGCAGCACUAUCUAUGGUCUAUUGCUAUACCUUCUCCUCUUCCAGUCCUCCUUGUUGGUUGGACAUUUUCCUUUUUGAAAAAAUAAAAACAAAUAAGGGACAUGUGCAAUAAUUACAUAUAUAUACAUACACACACACAUAUAUUUUAAUACUUGUGGACAAAAUAAUGUUACAAGUUGUUUGAGAACAACAAAAUCACCAAUGUCUUCCAUUUUGAUAAUAUGUAUAGUUUCAUAAACAUUAGUGCUUUGUAGCAAAAUGUAGUGCCAUGUUAGGGGCCAGUGCAUGAGCCUAGUAGUAAUUUAAAAAUGAAAAAUGAUUAAUUCUUUAUAGUAGUAACCAGUAGUGUAACCAAAAAAUGGAAAAUAGAAAAAUUUCCUUUUUUUCUUAAAGUUCUGAGCCUGUAUCUUCUCCCUGGGGAAAAGUGACAGACUUAAAAGGGCUAGUCUAGAAAUAGAAUUAUUCUGGCUUGGAGGGCUUGGAGAAUGUGCUUGGAGAUGUUUUAAUUUCACGUAAUGUUGUGGAAUCCUAAACCUACUGUGAUUGUCCAAUUUGAACCACAAACUAAAUUAUAGGUAGUGAACCUGUCUUAUGCUUCUUGUGUGCAGUGAUACUGUUCUUCCUAUGUCUUGUAGCCUACUCCUGUUUCCUUUCUGUAUGUAGACAUUCUCUGCAUCAAGGAACCACAUACAUUUUCUCUAUCUUAAUUGGGUACUCGUACCAGCCUCGCAUGAGGUGCUACACUCAAGGGUAGUCUGUAGACUUGUACGUUUCCUGUCUGCAGAUCACCAUCUCUAGGUUGUACCAAGAAACCCUUGGAAAUGUUAGAGUCAAGGUAUUUGUUUUAGGUUGUCACCACUUCUCAGUAUGUUGUAUUUUUUUAGUUGUAGUUUUCUUGCUACUUCUCUUGCUUGAUUUGCAUUUUGAGAAUUGGGUUUGUAGCUAGAUAGAACCUUGGUUAGGUUGCCAUGUAGUGAGAAGUAAGAGAGCAUUUGCUUAUGUUUACAGUAUGCAAUUUAAGGGUAUACCUUUCAAACUUGUACAUGUCUCCUUUCCCCUGCCUUUGCAGAAGGAAACUGUUUUGCCACUCGUGGGAUAGUUCAUUUUUUCUCUAGUAAAGCAAUUCCUUUCUGUAAAUGGCUUGCUUGAGAAAUUGGACAAGCUGAUUUUUCUGAAGUGAUCUGAGGGUCCAAGUACUCAGAUAAUCCAGGUUUUGUAAAACAUGGACUCUACAAAUAGUAAAUAAUGUGAUAAUGUACAACACUGCAUGAAUAAACCGGCUUUGAGUAAAUAGGCCCUUUUUAGCAGUUCUCUUAGGGACUAGGUUCAGGUUCUCUUAGUCUAGCCUCUAGUAGUUGUACCUUUGAUUCAAAUAGUAUAAUGCUUAGGAGAAACAGUUUCUUUGAAAAAAAAAAUACCUCUGAAACAGGAAUGCAAAAUAGCACAGUAUGCAGGGGGAACGCUCCUGAUGCAAACAAAGCCAUAAAAUGAUUUAAUAAUUUUAAAAGGAUAAAACUAGUAGCAAUAACUGUUGUGCAUGUAAUAGUAACUAACUUGAAUUAGCAAACCUGUAUAGUAAAGUAAGUUACCACUCAAGUUUGUGGUGUGUGGUGCUCAGUCCUUGACAGAGCUGCAUGAAAGGAAAUAUGUUUUUAGGUUGAUGACAUGUAUAAAAGCUGCUCUUUUCUUUCUUUGAGGAGGGAAGAGAGUGAAUGAGAGAGAGAGAAUGUGUGUGUGUUUGUGUGUGUGUGUGUGUGUGUGUGUGUGUGUGUGUGUGUGUGUGUGUGUGUGUUGGAGAGAGAGAGAAAUAUAUUUUGAUAUUUGAGACUGAAAGCCCAUUUGUUUCUCCAGGUAACAGGAGGGAGCUGUUGAAGUAAACUCUUUCUGGGAGACAAAUUGGAAUUUCAUCAAUGCAUUCCAAGUAGAUUUUCUACUUGAGACUUUACUUUGAGGCUAGAUCCUCCAUAAGUUUUUUUUCCCCCUUUCUCCUUUUGUUUCUUAAAUUCAUUUUUUUUUAGGAUUAAGAAAAAAACCUUAAAUUUGGUGUUUGUAUUUUCUGUAUUUAUGGUUAAGAAAGCUCUUAUUAACACUUGUGAGAAAGGCUUUGUGUAUGUGAAAUUUUUUGGUUUUGACCAUAUUUUUAAUGGAAGCGUGGCCAGGGCCACAGCCUCUGACAGCUUCUAAUCUGACAGUCACCUAAUGUGGAAAACCAUUCCACCUCCUAGCACACUGUCCUGGAUUAGGAAUCCAGGACAGAGCAGUGGGGACCGAGGUAAUCUUUCUAUUGUCUCAUGCCAUCUGUCUGUGUGGAUAAUUCAUCCUGCCAUUUAGCACCUGGAAAAUAACUCCAUCUCUCUAUAAGCUAGUUAGAAAUUCCCUUGGUUCAUGAUGUUCAAUUAUAUGCCUAUAUGUGAACCUAGGAGAAAAAAUGGGGGAGAGCCAAGAAAGGCGUGCCUCUUGACUAGAUUUAAAGUAACGAAGCAUCACAUUGGAUUCCUCUUGCUCUCUUUUUAGUGUGUGCCACAGUGUUACCAGUUAGACAUAUUGGAAUAGCCAAGCAAUUUUCAGCUGUCUGGCUUGAUCCCAGGUGUACACUUAUGCUAUAUAAAUAAUUUUGUAGAACAGCCACAAUAAAUGUUGAUAUAAAUGCUAAAAUUGACCAGACACAUCCAGGGCAUGGAUGGUGUCCAGAUAAGCUCAUUACACCAAGGGUGUAGGUAUCACCCUGAUUGGUAAACUCUUAUUAAAUAGGAAGUGUGCGCUUAAAAUAUGCUAGGUACUAUGCAAAACAGGAUGAGGUCUUUGCCCUUAAGGGGUUUACAUUCUCUUGGUGCUGCAGGUAAAGGCAAAUAGCCUCUAGUUUGUUAAGAUGAUGUUUGGCUGUUAGAAUAACCUUAGCCCAAAGGAUCAUUUGUCACAGCAGUUUCUAGAAGCAGAGGGCUGCACCAAAUUUUAGGGCAUUGAAGAUUUAACUGGUUUACAUUGUACUAACUAGGCUAUUUAUAAAUCUUUCCAGGGUGUGUGGGGUGGGAGGGGAAGAAGUGAUGUAUAGGUAAUUUCCUUCGGUAGUAGUAAAGGGAACCACUUGACUCAUUAGGGUCCCCACAACCUACCACCUUUGUCUGUUCACAGUAUCAUACCCAUAACAAAGUUGGCCAGGAAAAUCCACAAUAAUUAAGGUUAUUUCCUUCUCUUAAUAAGUGGCUCUUAUUUCUGCUACCAGAUCAUUCCCACCCUUAAGGGAAUAGAUUUCACACUGGUACAGUGUGAAAUGAUCCUAACUUUUACCUUUUUAUUUGCUCAUUUUGUAUUUCAAUUUAGAAGUAUCAUAGGGAUAGACAUGUGGAGAACUUGAUUAAAACUGUCAUUUCUUCUUCCCAAAUGUUUUCUCCCUUUCAGUUGAAAUAUUUUAAUGAAAAUAAAUUGCAUGUACCCUAGCUAAGCCCCAUAAUACGUCUGAAUCAAAAGGUUUUGUUUUGCAUGUUUCUUUAACACGGGUCUGAUCGAGAGGCCUUAGGUAAGAAUGCAUGAUGAUCAUAUAAGCAACAGUGGCACAAAGCCCACAAUCCCAGUCCUGUAGAGCUAGUCCUCAUUAUGCAUGCUUCGCAAUGUCUAGUGUAUAAUUACUUUUAAAAACCCUGAUAUAUGCAUUUAUAUAUAAUGAAGCAAUAGUAACUAUUAAACUAAUAGCUUGAAUUUACUGCUUGAAACCUCAGUUCUUAUUUAUCUUAAAAAGAUGAUUUGCCUCCAUCAUUAAAGGGAGGUUAAAGAAUAAACAGGGACAACAGCAUCACACUCUCAGGCUGUUUUGAAGAGGGAGUAGCAGAACUCUCCUUUCCUGGUUGAUAUUAGUCCCCUAAGCAUGUUUUUUCAAAAUAAUAAGGCACAAACUAAGAAGCAUGGUGUGUCAGUGAAUGAUUUCUUAGUGGCCUCAACUGUAGCAAUCAGAAAGGUGCAGAGUUUCAGGAGUAAGAGUGGAAGUGAGGCCCAACGGUACUAUAGAAAGUAAGAACUGGGUCUAUUAAACAAGGCAAAAGUGGCCUGAGUGUCAGCCCAGUAAAACUAGUACUUUGAAGGUGAAUAAAAUCAAUAAGCACAGUGCACACAUUUCAGGUGUUCAGUAGCUUUUUAAUACAGUAUUUUUAGGUAGCGAUAGCCACUUAGGCAGCUGUACUGAAUUGUACUGGUGUUGAUCAGCAAUAAUAAUGGCUCCCUGCAGCAAAAGAGACUUCACUUUGCAGCAUUUGACCUGAAAAUAUUGUUAACACCUGUGAUUUUGUUUCUCUUUAGUUGUCAUAUUGAUGUAUUUUUGAAUUUAUUUGACUUGAAAUGGAUUUUUAGAGCCAGACAAAAUUAUUUACCCCUAAUGGUCUGAUUAGUCAGUCCAGUUAAACUCCAUAAAGAACUCUUGCCCUUCAAGGUGAAUUUAUAUAUCCUCAUUUCAUUAGAUGAAUUUGCCACUAACUUCCUUAUUAGGGAGAAAAAAAUCAGAUGCUAUUCAAUUCACUAUGAGAAUAAAGAUUCUUGUGGGGUUUUUGGAGUAACUCCUAGAAGUAUAUGUGAUUAUAGCAAAUGAAUCAUCUACUAUAAGCAAAAGAAGCAACAAUGAACUUGUAAUUCUUCCCACCAAGGUUUUCCCUCUUAAAUUAGUGUAACCUCAUUUUAUUUGCAGUAGGGCUUAUCUUGACAUACUUGGAAAAACUCCAUUUUCCAAGUUAAAGGAUGAAAGUAAAAAUGUUUCAAAAUUGAACUGCUCAGUUCAUACUUAGAAAAUUUAUUCCCAAAACACAUUGGGAAGAGAUAGCUUUACAGUUUUUUUCUUUUGGCCACUUAUUGAUAGAACAUAUGUGAAAUAAAGUUGGAAAAUUAAAUGUUUAUUGAUUUUAGCUUAAGAAUACAGUAACUAUCAACCUUUAUUAAUUGACCCCAUAAUUUAUCAAGAAACUCUGAAAUUUUCAGGAUUAUUCUUUAGAAGCAAAAUUUCAAACAGAAGGUCUUCCUUCUAAACAAGAUUCAUUUCCCCAGAAAACAAAUAUGUGUGCUGCGCCAUUGUUGAGAUGUUGCAUGGUUGGGGGUUUUUUCCAGCAGUGGGGAGAAGUAUCCAAAAGAAACUGAAGCAGUGCAUGGCAAUUUUCCAUGUUUAAGUAUCUGUACUCUUCUUGAAGCAGCUUUUUAAAUUGUUCAACUCUUCUAUUUGAAAUAAAACAACUUGGCAUUAGAUUAGAAAGACCCAUUACUAAAAGUGAGCUAAUUUCGCUAUACUUUGUAUAUUCGGUUGACUCUCUUUUAGUGUGGGAAGGUUGUUUACUUAACUGUAUGUACAUGCAACACUGUAAUCUCUACUCCAUCGCAGUUAUAUUUUACAAUAUUGUUAGAAUUUCUCAUUGUAUAUACCUGAAAUUUUGCAAAAGGCAGCUUGCUGUUAUAUCUAUGCAUCUUUGAGUGUUUGAAGAGAUGUUAUUUUGAUGGUGUAAAGAGGAACUGUUUUAAAAAACCCCAGUUGGAAACUCUGCAACUAUGUAUAAAACUUUUGGGGGUUGUUUUUGGUUUUUAGCAAUAAAGCAGCAUGGGCGAGAAUGCACUGAA
Molecule: long non-coding RNA, 8425 nt
Organism: Dromiciops gliroides (monito del monte)
Lineage: Eukaryota; Metazoa; Chordata; Mammalia; Microbiotheria; Microbiotheriidae
Exons: 4
Source: RefSeq, a predicted model, not a curated record